GACGAACGCUGGCGGCGUGCUUAACACAUGCAAGUCGAACGGAAAGGCCCUGCUUUUGUGGGGUGCUCGAGUGGCGAACGGGUGAGUAACACGUGAGUAACCUGCCCUUGACUUUGGGAUAACUUCAGGAAACUGGGGCUAAUACCGGAUAGGAGCUCCUGCUGCAUGGUGGGGGUUGGAAAGUUUCGGCGGUUGGGGAUGGACUCGCGGCUUAUCAGCUUGUUGGUGGGGUAGUGGCUUACCAAGGCUUUGACGGGUAGCCGGCCUGAGAGGGUGACCGGCCACAUUGGGACUGAGAUACGGCCCAGACUCCUACGGGAGGCAGCAGUGGGGAAUAUUGCACAAUGGGCGGAAGCCUGAUGCAGCAACGCCGCGUGCGGGAUGACGGCCUUCGGGUUGUAAACCGCUUUCGCCUGUGACGAAGCGUGAGUGACGGUAAUGGGUAAAGAAGCACCGGCUAACUACGUGCCAGCAGCCGCGGUGAUACGUAGGGUGCGAGCGUUGUCCGGAUUUAUUGGGCGUAAAGGGCUCGUAGGUGGUUGAUCGCGUCGGAGGUGUAAUCUUGGGGCUUAACCCUGAGCGUGCUUUCGAUACGGGUUGACUUGAGGAAGGUAGGGGAGAAUGGAAUUCCUGGUGGAGCGGUGGAAUGCGCAGAUAUCAGGAGGAACACCAGUGGCGACGGCGGUUCUCUGGGCCUUUCCUGACGCUGAGGAGCGAAAGCGUGGGGAGCGAACAGGCUUAGAUACCCUGGUAGUCCACGCUGUAAACGGUGGGUACUAGGUGUGGGGUCCAUUCCACGGGUUCCGUGCCGUAGCUAACGCUUUAAGUACCCCGCCUGGGGAGUACGGCCGCAAGGCUAAAACUCAAAGGAAUUGACGGGGCCCCGCACAAGCGGCGGAGCAUGCGGAUUAAUUCGAUGCAACGCGUAGAACCUUACCUGGGUUUGACAUGGAUCGGGAGCGCUCAGAGAUGGGUGUGCCUCUUUUGGGGUCGGUUCACAGGUGGUGCAUGGCUGUCGUCAGCUCGUGUCGUGAGAUGUUGGGUUAAGUCCCGCAACGAGCGCAACCCUUGUUCACUGUUGCCAGCACGUUAUGGUGGGGACUCAGUGGAGACCGCCGGGGUCAACUCGGAGGAAGGUGGGGAUGACGUCAAGUCAUCAUGCCCCUUAUGUCCAGGGCUUCACGCAUGCUACAAUGGCUGGUACAGAGAGUGGCGAGCCUGUGAGGGUGAGCGAAUCUCGGAAAGCCGGUCUCAGUUCGGAUUGGGGUCUGCAACUCGACCUCAUGAAGUCGGAGUCGCUAGUAAUCGCAGAUCAGCAACGCUGCGGCGAAUACGUUCCCGGG
Molecule: ribosomal RNA, 1343 nt
Filed under: uncultured bacterium
Lineage: Bacteria
Description: 16S ribosomal RNA
Rfam family: Bacterial small subunit ribosomal RNA
Source: RNAcentral